CCCUGGUGGGGGGCUGGGCAGGGUCUCACAGCCUGCGCAGAUUGCCUCACUCCUCCCGUGAAGUGCAUGUUGCCCGGCUUUGCUGAGCCAGAGCGGUCCCCCUGGAGCCCACUGCCACGUCCCAGGACCGCCUGCCCUCGCACCGUCCACUCUGGCACCGUCUCACCCCGCGCCGGCUCAUUGGUGGCCUCAUUUGCCUGUUCUUGAAGACCAGGGGGGACUUGAAAUUGAAGUGAACACUAUCGAAAAUGAAUACCAAGGAGAUGGAUGUCUUUAUAAGACUAUCCCAGAAGACAGCGCCUUUGCAGGGUAAAUACUUGUCAAUGUGGGGCCUUUGGGGAGCUGAAGUCCCCCAGAGCGGGUGGCCAUGGCCCUCUAGUGGCCACAGGGGGUGACAGCACCGUGGCAGCCUCUCAAGAUGGCCGCCCAGCUUGGAGCCGGCAUGGAGGGCCCACGACAAGCAGCACCAGAGCCACCAAGGCUAACAUUCUUUCCUAAGAAUCCUUAAUAAGGUUCCUCUGUUGACCAAAUAAGCAAACGCCGGAAGCUCCAGGAGCUGGGAAAUGAAACAAGAGCUUCCUCUUGAGGCGAGAUGACGUGAAGUCUUGGGGCCUCUCCGGGGUCCUUCUCUUUCAGAACAGCUGGGACACACGCCAGCAUCUGGGAAGGGCUUGUCCGAAGAACGCGCCGCUUGGGCAGCGUUUAUCGUGGUGACGGACCCGAGGGACGAGCUUGGGAACACGUGCGGCCGAGUCCAAGGUGCCGCGGCUUCCCUUCGCGGGGCUGGGCUCACUUCCCCAGGAGCAGGACUUUGAACGUCCCUGGAUGACUACUGAAAAUUUGUUUGGGAAAGAUCUAACUCCCAUGGAAGUUGUGAGGGUGGCGGUCCAGAGGGGCCUUCUACCCCACCCCCCGAGUGAGCUGCUGACAUGGCGUCUCAAGACUUCAAAUCCUUUAUUGCGUUUUCCCACAACAGGGACAGUCUCCCAGUUUUAGGGGCUACAUUGUGCCCCCCCAAAACUGAUGUGUUGAAGUCCUAGCCCUCAGGAGCUCGCAUGUGACCGCACCUGGAGAUGGGGCCCUGGAAGAAGCAGUGAAGGGAGAAUGGGGUCACAGGGUGCGCUCUAGUCCAGGAUGGCUGGAGGGGGGCAGGGCGCAGCCACCCAGAGGGGAGAGUCCCAGGGAGAGGCCUGCCCCCCGCAGCCUGGCCCAGACGGCGAAGGAGCCAGCCCUGCAGACACCUUGACCUCGGCUUCUGGCCUCUGGGACUCUGAGGAGACGAGUCUCUGCUCUUUAGCCCCUUAGUCUGUGUCCACCACCAGAGAGAGAGGUGGUGUUCAAUUCCCAAGGUGGACAAAGGCCCGGAUCAGGCUUUUUGAACUCAAGCCAUCAAGAAAUUCAGGGCGCCUCAACCUCGAGGGUGGACGACAUGGCUGGGAUCGUGCUCAGCCACCCCUCCCCUUCCUGGAUGGCAACCUCUUCUCCAACGCACCUCUUCUUUCGCCUGCUCCCAAAUUUCAUCUUCACUGACCCAACAAAUAUGAGACGCAUUUGAAAUUAACAUACAAGUCCUUUCCUUAGCCUGUUAACCACUCCAGGGAGUGGGGAUCACAUGGUCUGGUCAGAGGACACAGACACCCCGCCGCCGGCCGCUUGUGGGUUCCACCCGGACCAUUUCAUUCCCCAGCUGUGGCUGCUGCCCUGGCAGGUCCUCACAGCUGCUCCCUGUCCAGUCUCCUACACCCCUCCCCUGCUGCAUGCUCCGUGUGGAACCUCCCCCCACUCACACCACCCCCUUUCCGGGCCUGGAGCCACUCCCCUUGGAGCUGAGACGAUUCCCCACGCCUCCCUGUUAUUCCCGACAGCCCUGGGAUGCUUAGUCAUUUUUACCCCCUAAAUAUUUCUCAGUGCAUCGAUGCCUCUGGACCUUUGCACAUGCUCCUCCCCUGGCUGAGAACACCCGCUCACCAGGUCACGCCUCCUGGAGUUGAACCUUCCUAUGGGUAGCCUUGAGGACAGAGCCCUGGGCUGAGAUUUCUUGUUACGGAAACCAGCGUGGCCUGACGUCCUGCAUAGCCCCAGUGACUAUCUGCUGGCUGACGAAAUCCCACAGAUGGAGCACAUCAGCGCCACGCUGAGUACGCUAAGUAGCAGUCUAUUAACUAUAAAUAACUAAGUGGAACUCCAAAAGCUGGGUGCGGGGAACUGUUUGGACGAAGUGGGAUCAUCAAAUGCUCACUAGCGCCAAUCAAGAGCAGCGCCCGGAGCGGGCGGGGGCUGGGAGCGGGCACCCCACGCUUCCUGCAUCCUGCACGGUCACUGGCUGGGGCUGAACAACACAGGUUUUGGGAGAAAACAUUUCUGAGUUUGUGUGGAUGAGACGGGCACGCGGCUGUGGUCAGAUGUGUCCCCAGGAUCUUGGACAGAGGAGGAAACGCGCCGUGAGCCCGAGGACAGAGGUGCUGGAGUCGGAAUCAGAGACGCCCACGCUCACUAGGGCAGCACUUCCAAAAAAAGGGCAAAUUGAACACGUAGGACCUGGUGAUGAGAAGGAAAACAGGCUUCUAAAGACCUGCCCACGGCACCAUCCGUGGCUACACAGAAGACCCUUACGAGCACAGAUUUCUCCUCUCAAAAAACAGUUUUACUUCUGAUUGUAAGAGUAACCUCAAAAGCGCUUAUCUUGCGGGCCCGGGGACGUGGAAGGAGACGCUGGUCCUGAGCCUUGCAGCAGCCGGGGGGCGGCGCAGGGCCAGUGCCUGUGCAGCGGGCUUGAGUGGGUCCCAAGAAGCGCGCGCGCGCGGCCCUCCCCAGCCAGACGUCUCGGGCGUGGCCACAUGGACACCGGCCACGCCACAGGAAGGGCAGGAAGACACGGCGGGGGGCAGCCCAGUAAGUCACCCAGCCUCUGCGCUGCCCAGCCCGAGGGAGACCGGGCUGUGAAAAGACGUAACACAAGCAGCUCAGCUAACCACGGGCGGCUCAGACUGCUCUUCCUUGGUUUCAAUUUUGUUUCAUAGACUUUAAUCAGUUACACAUUAUUCUAAAAGCAUAAAAUACUGAACUCUAUCCUCUGAAUUUACACGGUGUCAAUUUUUAGUAACGCGGCUUCUCACCAGGGAAGAUGUCAGCAGAACACGGUCUGUGACCGAUGAUGACUUCACGACGCGGGCUCUGCUUAUAAUAAAAUGCGCUCUAGUUCACGACUGUUCACACCACAGCAGAAAUCUCUACCCGCCUCCGUCUAAACACACCACGACCCGGGCCCAGUCUCUGUGACUGGCAGUGACGUCAGAGCCGGCCAGUCCCCGGCGUCCAUGCUCUUCGAGCUGGUGCGUCACCGCUCAGGACCGGUUAUCUUCGAUGACAAUCGUUCUUCCAGGGUAGGCGUCAACUUCUACAAAUAUGUAGCGAAACUCAUAUUCACCACUCUCUGGGUUCUGGGGAAAAACCGCGUUUCAAGGAGUGAGCCCCGUGCAGAGCUGAGGGGCCCGGCCGCGCCCUGCGCCUGCCCGCGCCCACCCGCGCCCACACCUCCUUCACUUCCAGGUGCACCGUCCCCUGCCGCCCCGGCUCGGAGCCCUGGAUGUAGAACUUGAUGCGCAUGUGCUUCAGCCCAUCCUUCGAAUAUUCCACGAAGCUGUGGGGAAGAUGGAGGCCGUGGGACUGAGCUCCUCUCCCCUCCGCUGCCCCCACGCUGCCCCCGUGCGGUACCUGACGUGCUGCCUGCGCCCACGCCGCGUCGUCUCCCCGAAGCCUUUAACCGGCUCCCCGAAGACACUGAUGACCUGGGGGGAGUGGUGGAUGAGGUUGUCAGCCAGUUGUUUACUGCUAAGGAGAGCGUUUCUGACAGACCCCAUGAUUUUUUUUAGAAACCCCCCAAAUUUGUAAAUGGGACCCUUUCAAAAUGACAAUGAGAAAUCUGGAAAGAAAAGUUAUUAUGCAGCGAUCACCCCACAAAUCACACUCCAUGCAGAGACUGAAGCAGGUGAGCCUGAGGCUCCCGCACCAGAGCGUGAGGGCAGCUCAGGCUGAGGCGAUGCCGUUCCCACUGCCCUUGCAGACAACACAUGCCACGCAACACGUGUGCAGGGCCUCUGGGACAUCAAUGCACCAGGGUAUAGUGGGAGAUCUACAAGACCAAUGUGACUGUCCAGGUCACCCCACACUGUGAAAGGAAAACAAGAGUGACCUAUGAAGACGUCAGGCCAGGGGGUGGCGCGCCUGGCUCCAGGUGGAAAAUGCACCAGGAAGUGAAAACGUUUUUAUGGAAUUUAAAUCGCAAAUAACUUGAAAAGGUUAAAAAAAAAAAAACAAAACACACACAGAUUUGUUAUCAGAUGAAAAUACUGCCUAGAUUCUCAAAAAUUUACUGUCUCUGAUGAACAUCGGCGUCAUAUUUUUCAGGUAUGCAUGCUAAGGAGUCCAUCAUGGAAGAUGAGAAUUACUCAGGGCUGUACAGCCGACGCAGAACAGUCGUUCAAAUAAUGGCCUGGAAUCAACACUCGGGCAUCAACCCCAGAGCCCCCCGUUUCUCAAGCAGACCCACCACAAAUGCUGACGAGAUGCUGUCAGUCAACGGUUCACAGGCCACAAAUGCCUAGCCUCUCACUAACAUGCCACCUUUACUUAUUCUGUGUAAUUUUGUCCCAAACGCUGAGAUGCAUGCACGGCUGCUUGUGAGUCACACAGCAGCGCUGCCCCGCGGGCCUGUGAUGACGCUGUGCGCGUCCCGUCGCCUGCACGGUGCUUCUUGCCAGUCUAAUCUGGGCCCCGACUAUGAAAGCCCCUCUCUCCCCCCACCUUUUAUUUUCAGCGCACCCAGGAAGUGCGCCCUUGCUACCUCCUCCACGUCUUCAGACUAGCCAGCAUGGAGUUAAGAGAAUCCAUAGCUUUGAAGAGGAGGUGCCGAGAGUACCAGCCUCAAGUUCCUCCCUGACGGGACUACAGAAGCGACGGCAUCUGAGGGCGGUGCCCCGGGAGUCUCGAGUUCUGAUGCUACCUGCUGUUUUCUUUCAAGGUACCAGAACUGAGACUUCAAUGACUGAUAUUUUUCAAAGUGGAGGCUUUCUAUCCAGAGAGCAGGAAAUCGGGGGAUUCACAGGCUGCGCCGGCUUCUCUGACUGGAAAACAUUACACAAAAGCCGUCCUCCCGGACCAGAGCCUCUGGAGAGCCGAGGUCUGUCUCCCCAUCGACCCCAGCCCGGGGCCCGGCUUCCAGAUGACCAUGUUUGGGCUCCGGCUCUCCUGCUGUCACCUCAGCUGAGCGAGCUCAUCUCGAGUCAGCCUCCUCUCUGCAAUGCGCAUCCGCAGCCGCCACAACCAGGCUGUGUGCGAGGCCGGCGGCCGAUCCCAGCGCGCCAUCCGUGACAACUAGCAUCGACUUUCUCUUGUCCAGGUAGGGAGGAGACCCCCUACAGGCCUCUGCCUACUUAAAGCAUUUCAAACACAGAGCUGACGUGACCAACUGACCCUAUCACAUACGUGUCCACGUCGGCCCUGCGGGCAGGGAACCACCCCACCCCAGCCCAGCCCGUCUGUGAGACUCUCCCUGAGGACUAACCUCGGGGUGGGACCGGCAUAUGUCCAAGGCUUUCCCAUAUAUCUUGUUAGGGCUGGAUGAAGAAAAAAGUUCUUUGAAAAUAGUGUAAAACAAGCCACCUGAAAAUCACAAAAAAAAAAAAGUGAAGCCAGGAGAGACGGAGACCAGCGGCACUCGGGAGAGCUGUGCGGGGCGUUAUACUUGCUGCGUUUUCAACCUGUAAUGCUGACUCCAAUAAGCACCACUACCAGGUAGGUGAGGUCGCGCCCGGCUUCCUUCACUGUGGAGAGAAAACACCAAGUCACCGUGAGCGGCACGGGCAGGCGGCAGCUGCCUGGGGAGGCAGGCGCGGGCCCUCGGGGGCUGUGGCGUGGAGCAGCUUGCUCAGAUCCCCCCGUGAGCCAGAGGAACUUCACCAGAAUUCAGGGCCUAGACCCAGGUUUCUAUUUUCGUCAUUUCAACACCUCCUUACUUUCUAAGAUGAGGACAUUCUUUUCAGUCCCCAGCUCCUCAGAGCGGAUGAAAACCACCGUCACAGACCAGGCGAUGCCGGGCAGUUCACUGUUCACAGAUCAGAGCGUGUUUUGUCACGGGCAGUCGAGGGGGUCAAAAAUGGCCUCAACUCGGCUUUCUACUCCUAGGGUCACUUUCGCUAGCGUCCUGCCACCCCCACGGGCCGGGCACAGAGGAAAGCAGGGCUGACGCAGACCAGCGUUUGUUCAGACUUGUGAGCUGAACAGAUUUAGAAAAUAAAGAGCCUGCAGGGGUGCUUGUCUCUUUCGACACGAAUGAAAGAGGAGCCUGUGGAUUACACCCAAGUCCCGGGCGCAACAGCCAUUCAGCUGCGGCAUCGCCACGGGACAGAGUCUGCGUGCACAGCGACGUGGGCACUUGCCCGGCCACUGGCACUGCCAGCCGCUCGCCGCCGUGGCACGUUCUCCCUGAUGCUGGAGAGUGACUCACCUCCUGGCGUCUUUAUAGCUCAGUGUAGUCACCGUAUUUGAAUGAUUUCCAGAAUAGGCAUUUCUUACACUUUUUUUUUCAGAAAAACAACAAAAUGUUAACGGAGGUUGUUACUAUUUCCUCCACUCUUUUUUUUUUUUUUUUUACAACAAACUUCUAUCACUUUUAUAAAUUAACACUUAUUUAAAAGUGCUCUUCAGCACAGCAUAAUUCCUCAAGCUUUCCACACUGGUUUCUGCAUAAAGAGAUGAUUCAAAUAAACACUUUCUCUGCCCUAACCGUGUCACUCAUGGGCUUGAUCCAACAAGCUCUGCCACAGGUCCCUCCUCUUAGCGAGGCUGGGUAGAACCCCACAGUCAGCCUUCGCUCCUGUUCCCUGCGGUCAUGGGACAAACUUAACAUGCCACUGAGCGCCAGGUCCUAAGCUGAGGACACACCACUGGCCACCCACUGGCCACCCAACAUGCUGCCAUGUCAUACUGCCACUCAUGUCAAGGCUUUGGCCCCACUGCUGGCUCCAGGAGCGCCUGGGCACGCCCAUAUUCCUGCGCCACACAGGCCAGGAGGCCGCCUUCUCUGUUCACUCGCACCUACUGUGUAAUUACUGUGUGCGAAGGCCUGGCCCCAUCCACAGCCCACACACCUUUGUGUUUCUUUCUAAAGAUUUAUAGAUUUAUUUAAUUAUUUAUUUAUACAAGCACUGGGCACAGUCAGAAGCACAGGAGAGUGAGAGAAUUCACCAGAGCCAGAGCAGGGAGCAGAAUAGGCAGAAGGACAGAAGUACACUGCUGAGAGGAGCAGCGGGCGGCAGAAGUCUGCGCGCCACACGGGACCCUCGCCCAGCGGCCUGGGAUCGAACCUGCGCUGCAGAGGCUGCAGGCAGCCUCGUAGCCCAGCGCUCAACCGCUGCGCCACCGCUGCACCACCGGGGAGGCCCUUUAGUGUUUCUUUUUAAUGGUACUCUACGUGGUCUUCACCAGAGGCUGCCUGUUGUCCUUUUUUGUUGUUGCUAUUAAAACUGUUAAGUAUGUGCACUAAAAUGACAUGAAUCAAAAUACUAACAAAUCAUGUUUGCACGGUAUUAAUAGGGUGUCGGAAAUGCUCUGCUUUAUCUUUUUUUAUAACUCACUUGGGAAAUAAACAAUAAAAAAUGAAA
Molecule: long non-coding RNA, 7661 nt
Organism: Talpa occidentalis (Iberian mole)
Lineage: Eukaryota; Metazoa; Chordata; Mammalia; Eulipotyphla; Talpidae
Exons: 3
Source: RefSeq, a predicted model, not a curated record